GGUGAACGCUGGCGGCGUGCCUAAUACAUGCAAGUCGAGCGAACAGACGAGGAGCUUGCUCCUUCGACGUUAGCGGCGGACGGGUGAGUAACACGUAGGUAACCUACCUAUAAGACUGGGAUAACUUCGGGAAACCGGAGCUAAUACCGGAUAAUAUUUCGAACCGCAUGGUUCGAUAGUGAAAGAUGGCUUUGCUAUCACUUAUAGAUGGACCUGCGCCGUAUUAGCUAGUUGGUAAGGUAACGGCUUACCAAGGCAACGAUACGUAGCCGACCUGAGAGGGUGAUCGGCCACACUGGAACUGAGACACGGUCCAGACUCCUACGGGAGGCAGCAGUAGGGAAUCUUCCGCAAUGGGCGAAAGCCUGACGGAGCAACGCCGCGUGAGUGAUGAAGGUCUUCGGAUCGUAAAACUCUGUUAUUAGGGAAGAACAAACGUGUAAGUAACUGUGCACGUCUUGACGGUACCUAAUCAGAAAGCCACGGCUAACUACGUG
RNAcentral lists this ribosomal RNA (497 nucleotides) under uncultured bacterium. RNAcentral describes it as "partial 16S ribosomal RNA". It matches the Rfam family "Bacterial small subunit ribosomal RNA", at positions 28 to 507 of the family's 1533-position model. The record is from RNAcentral.